Molecule: non-coding RNA, 102 nt
Filed under: Hemiselmis rufescens
Lineage: Eukaryota; Cryptophyceae; Cryptomonadales; Hemiselmidaceae
Source: RNAcentral
AGUGAAUUAAAAAGUAAAAAAUAAAAUCCAAAAGAAAAAGUUGACGCACCCUUCUUGUUUUUCUUUCUUAUCUUCUUUUCUUUUUCUUUUUCUUUUUUGUGU